RNAcentral lists this small nuclear RNA (106 nucleotides) under Tursiops truncatus (common bottlenose dolphin). Lineage: Eukaryota; Metazoa; Chordata; Mammalia; Artiodactyla; Delphinidae. The record is from RNAcentral. RNAcentral also lists the same sequence under 1 other name.
GUGUUCGCUUCAGCCACACAUAUACUAACAUUGGAACUAUACAAGGAACAUCAUCACGGCCCCUGUGCAAGAUGACACGCACAUCUAUGACACAUUCCAUAUUUUG